UCCUCGGUAGUAUAGUGGUCAGUAUCUCCGCCUGUCGCGUGGAAGGCCCGGGUUCGAGUCCCGGCCGGGGAG
Opisthorchis viverrini is the source of this 72-nucleotide non-coding RNA. NCBI's taxonomy places the organism in Eukaryota, Metazoa, Platyhelminthes, Trematoda, Opisthorchiida, Opisthorchiidae. The record is from Rfam.